Molecule: ribosomal RNA, 497 nt
Filed under: uncultured bacterium
Lineage: Bacteria
Description: partial 16S ribosomal RNA
Rfam family: Bacterial small subunit ribosomal RNA
Source: RNAcentral
GAUGAACGCUGGCGGCGUACCUAAUACAUGCAAGUCGAGCGAACAGACGAGGAGCUUGCUCCUCUGACGUUAGCGGCGGACGGGUGAGUAACACGUGGAUAACCUACCUAUAAGACUGGGAUAACUUCGGGAAACCGGAGCUAAUACCGGAUAAUAUAUUGAACCGCAUGGCUCAAUAGUGAAAGACGGUUUUGCUGUCACUUAUAGAUGGAUCCGCGCCGCAUUAGUUAGUUGGUAAGGUAACGGCUUACCAAGGCGACGAUGCGUAGCCGACCUGAGAGGGUGAUCGGCCACACUGGAACUGAGACACGGUCCAGACUCCUACGGGAGGCAGCAGUAGGGAAUAUUCCGCAAUGGGCGAAAGCCUGACGGAGCAACGCCGCGUGAGUGAUGAAGGUCUUCGGAUCGUAAAACUCUGUUAUUAGGGAAGAACAAAUGUGUAAGUAACUCUGCACGUCUUGACGUUACCUACUCAGAAAGCAACGGCUAACUACGUG